RNAcentral lists this ribosomal RNA (498 nucleotides) under uncultured bacterium. Its description in RNAcentral is "partial 16S ribosomal RNA". It matches the Rfam family "Bacterial small subunit ribosomal RNA", at positions 29 to 523 of the family's 1533-position model. The record is from RNAcentral.
AUUGAACGCUGGCGGCAUGCCUUACACAUGCAAGUCGAACGGUAACGCGGGGCAACCUGGCGACGAGUGGCGAACGGGUGAGUAAUGCAUCGGAACGUGCCCAGUAGUGGGGGAUAGCUCGGCGAAAGCCGGAUUAAUACCGCAUACGACCUACGGGUGAAAGCGGGGGACCGUAAGGCCUCGCGCUGUUGGAGCGGCCGAUGUCAGAUUAGGUUGUUGGUGAGGUAAAGGCUCACCAAGCCGACGAUCUGUAGCUGGUCUGAGAGGACGACCAGCCACACUGGGACUGAGACACGGCCCAGACUCCUACGGGAGGCAGCAGUGGGGAGUUUUGGACAAUGGGGGCAACCCUGAUCCAGCCAUGCCGCGUGCGGGAAGAAGGCCUUCGGGUUGUAAACCGCUUUUGUCAGGGAAGAAAAGCUUCGGGCUAAUACCCCGAGGUAAUGACGGUACCUGAAGAAUAAGCACCGGCUAACUACGUGCCAGCCGCCGCAGUAA